RNAcentral lists this transfer RNA (79 nucleotides) under pig gut metagenome. It matches the Rfam family "tRNA". Rfam says of the family: Transfer RNA (tRNA) molecules are approximately 80 nucleotides in length. Their secondary structure includes four short double-helical elements and three loops (D, anti-codon, and T loops). The record is from RNAcentral.
UGGAGUGGCCGAGUGGUUAAAGGCAACAGACUGUAAAUCUGUCCUCUAUGAGUUCGAAGGUUCGAAUCCUUCCUCCACC